GCGCGCGUGGCGGAAUUGGCAGACGCACUAGCCUUAGGAGCUAGCGGGAAACCGUGGGGGUUCAAGUCCCUCUGCGCGCACCA
RNAcentral lists this transfer RNA (83 nucleotides) under Clostridiales bacterium. RNAcentral's name for it is "tRNA-Leu". It matches the Rfam family "tRNA". From Rfam's summary of the family: Transfer RNA (tRNA) molecules are approximately 80 nucleotides in length. Their secondary structure includes four short double-helical elements and three loops (D, anti-codon, and T loops). Further hydrogen bonds mediate the characteristic L-shaped molecular structure. tRNAs have two regions of fundamental functional importance: the anti-codon, which is responsible for specific mRNA codon recognition, and the 3' end, to which the tRNAs corresponding amino acid is attached (by aminoacyl-tRNA synthetases). tRNAs cope with the degeneracy of the genetic code in two manners: having more than one tRNA (with a specific anti-codon) for a particular amino acid; and 'wobble' base-pairing, i.e. permitting non-standard base-pairing at the 3rd anti-codon position. Lineage: Bacteria; Bacillati; Bacillota; Clostridia; Eubacteriales. The record is from RNAcentral. RNAcentral also lists the same sequence under 1 other name.